AACACGUGGGUAACCUGCCCAUCAGAAGGGGAUAACACUUGGAAACAGGUGCUAAUACCGUAUAACAAUCGAAACCGCAUGGUUUUGAUUUGAAAGGCGCUUUCGGGUGUCGCUGAUGGAUGGACCCGCGGUGCAUUAGCUAGUUGGUGAGGUAACGGCUCACCAAGGCCACGAUGCAUAGCCGACCUGAGAGGGUGAUCGGCCACAUUGGGACUGAGACACGGCCCAAACUCCUACGGGAGGCAGCAGUAGGGAAUCUUCGGCAAUGGACGAAAGUCUGACCGAGCAACGCCGCGUGAGUGAAGAAGGUUUUCGGAUCGUAAAACUCUGUUGUUAGAGAAGAACAAGGAUGAGAGUAACUGUUCAUCCCUUGACGGUAUCUAACCAGAAAGCCACGGCUAACUACGUGCCAGCAGCCGCGGUAAUACGUAGGUGGCAAGCGUUGUCCGGAUUUAUUGGGCGUAAAGCGAGCGCAGGCGGUUUCUUAAGUCUGAUGUGAAAGCCCCCGGCUCAACCGGGGAGGGUCAUUGGAAACUGGGAGACUUGAGUGCAGAAGAGGAGAGUGGAAUUCCAUGUGUAGCGGUGAAAUGCGUAGAUAUAUGGAGGAACACCAGUGGCGAAGGCGGCUCUCUGGUCUGUAACUGACGCUGAGGCUCGAAAGCGUGGGGAGCAAACAGGAUUAGAUACCCUGGUAGUCCACGCCGUAAACGAUGAGUGCUAAGUGUUGGAGGGUUUCCGCCCUUCAGUGCUGCAGCUAACGCAUUAAGCACUCCGCCUGGGGAGUACGACCGCAAGGUUGAAACUCAAAGGAAUUGACGGGGGCCCGCACAAGCGGUGGAGCAUGUGGUUUAAUUCGAAGCAACGCGAAGAACCUUACCAGGUCUUGACAUCCUUUGACCACUCUAGAGAUAGAGCUUCCCCUUCGGGGGCAAAGUGACAGGUGGUGCAUGGUUGUCGUCAGCUCGUGUCGUGAGAUGUUGGGUUAAGUCCCGCAACGAGCGCAACCCUUAUUGUUAGUUGCCAUCAUUCAGUUGGGCACUCUAGCAAGACUGCCGGUGACAAACCGGAGGAAGGUGGGGAUGACGUCAAAUCAUCAUGCCCCUUAUGACCUGGGCUACACACGUGCUACAAUGGGAAGUACAACGAGUUGCGAAGUCGCGAGGCUAAGCUAAUCUCUUAAAGCUUCUCUCAGUUCGGAUUGCAGGCUGCAACUCGCCUGCAUGAAGCCGGAAUCGCUAGUAAUCGCGGAUCAGCACGCCGCGGUGAAUACGUUCCCGGGCCU
RNAcentral lists this ribosomal RNA (1282 nucleotides) under Enterococcus faecium. RNAcentral's name for it is "bacterial SSU rRNA". It matches the Rfam family "Bacterial small subunit ribosomal RNA", at positions 112 to 1381 of the family's 1533-position model. The record is from RNAcentral. Lineage: Bacteria; Bacillati; Bacillota; Bacilli; Lactobacillales; Enterococcaceae.